Molecule: small RNA, 191 nt
Filed under: Crystallibacter crystallopoietes
Lineage: Bacteria; Bacillati; Actinomycetota; Actinomycetes; Micrococcales; Micrococcaceae
Also listed under: 1 other name
Description: Arthrobacter crystallopoietes c-di-AMP sequence
Rfam family: c-di-AMP riboswitch aptamer (ydaO/yuaA leader)
About the family: This family represents a conserved RNA structure found upstream of the ydaO and yuaA genes in Bacillus subtilis and related genes in other bacteria. The ydaO/yuaA element is thought to act as a genetic "off" switch for the ydaO and yuaA genes in its native state. It is believed that the element may be triggered during osmotic shock leading to activation of ydaO, a predicted amino acid transporter gene, and members of the yuaA-yubG operon which code for KtrA and KtrB K+ transporters.
Source: RNAcentral
CCUGUCAGCAGACCGGAUCCGUUCAAGAUUUUCCCGACAGGGGCGGAGGAACCACUUUUUGGCGCUUGGGGGCGCCUUGGGGUGAAGUUCGUACGGCCGCAGAGAUCGCUGAAUCCUGCCCGCCGGCGAACCGAGCACAACUCUCUGGCUCGAAUCCGACAGCUAACUUCGCCGGCGCCACGAGAGGAUUC